Nelumbo nucifera (sacred lotus) is the source of this 92-nucleotide non-coding RNA. The record is from Rfam. Lineage: Eukaryota; Viridiplantae; Streptophyta; Magnoliopsida; Proteales; Nelumbonaceae.
UUGAGCCGUAUGCAUCCAAAGGUGCAUGUACGGUUCCUAAAGGAUACAAUUUUGUCCUAAUCAACCGACUUCAUCGAGAAAGAUUACUUUUU